GGACCAAGGAGUCUAGCAUGUGCGCGAGUCAUUGGGACUCUAACGAAACCUAAAGGCGCAAUGAAAGUGAAGGCCCGCCUAGCGCGGGCCGAGGGAGGAUGGGCUUUCCCAAGGGAUCGCCCCGCACUCCCAGGGCGUCUCGUUCUCAUUGCGAGAAGAGGCGCACCAAGAGCGUACACGCUGGGACCCGAAAGAUGGUGAACUAUGCCUGGUCAGGACGAAGUCAGGGGAAACCCUGAUGGAGGUCCGUAGCGAUUCUGACGUGCAAAUCGAUCGUCGGAACUGGGUAUAGGGGCGAAAGACUAAUCGAACCAUCUAGUAGCUGGUUCCCUCCGAAGUUUCCCUCAGGAUAGCUGGCGCUCGCUUCUCGCGAGUCUCAUUCGGUAAAGCGAAUGAUUAGAGGCAUUGGGGUCGAAACGGCCUCAACCUAUUCUCAAACUUUAAAUGGGUGAGAUCUCCGGCUUGCUUGAACUGUGAAGCCGCGAGAUAUCGGAUCAGAGUGCCAAGUGGGCCACUUUUGGUAAGCAGAACUGGCGCUGUGGGAUGAACCAAACGCUGAGUUAAAGCGCCUAAAUCGACGCUUAUGGGAUACCAUGAAAGGCGUUGGUAACUUAAGACAGCAGGACGGUGGCCAUGGAAGUCGGA
Molecule: ribosomal RNA, 645 nt
Filed under: Taeniodera sp. DA-2012
Lineage: Eukaryota; Metazoa; Arthropoda; Insecta; Coleoptera; Scarabaeidae
Description: LSU rRNA
Rfam family: Eukaryotic large subunit ribosomal RNA
Source: RNAcentral